AUUCCACUUCUUAAUUUUUGUUUGCUUUUUUUCAUUUGUCAUUAUUUUAUUAUUCGUGUUUGGGUUAUUUUUUUGGCAGGAAAUCGUAUUAUUGGUAUGGUGGGUUCUUAAUUUGCAGUUGAUGAGGACUUUGACUUGGAAUGGUUAUGAACUAUGAUGUUCAAUUCAUUCUUGUGUUCUAUAAUUUAUUAUUAGUAUUUGAUUGAUUAUGAAUGAAUGCAGUGAUCAUUUUCUUUCUUUCUUUUCUCAAUUUUUUUGUGCAUGUGACAUCUUUUCUGGAAAACUGUGUUGGCGGUUAAUUCCAAGUUGUGGGAUGAUUUUGGUAGAGAAAUGGAGUAGUUGUAUUAAGUGAUGGCCUAAUUGGGUAUCCAGAUGAUACUAAACAUGUAAUCUUGCAAUAUAUUUUGUUUCGUAUCAAACUAAGAUAUAGUGUUUUGGGUGAUAAUUAUACUUUGUUGGUAGUUUUAAUUUUAAUUUUUUUUUUUUUUUGGUUUUUUGUUUCUAGUGUUGUUGAGAUUGAUAAAUGAUGUGAGAAGAUCAAUUGGUUAGGUUUUUUUUGGUUUGUUUAAAUCAUCAUAUUCACUUGAACUUCUUCAGACGUUUAGUUGGAUUCGGCAUUGUGUUGUAUUUGAGCUAGAUUUCUGACCUUGGUUAUUCAUGUGUUUAAUUUUGCUUGAAUUGUGGUGAUGGAUAAAUAUGGUCUUUGAUGACAAUUGUAAUGUGAUUGCGUGUGUUAAACCUGAACAUUAUUGGGAUUUUGAUGAAGGAAGAAAUUAAACAAGAGCACAAGUUAAUUGGAAAUAAAUUGUGAUGUUUAUAUGAGGAUAGGAUAUAGUUUGUAAUUGUGAAGCAAAACAAUGCAGUUUAUAUGAAGCAAAACGAUGUAUUUCGAUUGUAAUAGCCUGCGUUGAUCAAUAACAUGGUUAAAAAUCUCGAAGCUGUACCUCAGCUCUAAUUGAAGAUGUUUCUGUGUGCACAGGCUCAAGCUAACAUGCAUAUGCAAGGUGGCUUACAAUCUUCGUCAGCAUUAAGUCCUUCAGGGUUAGAACCAUCUCCGUCUGAGGUAUUGAUGCAACAGCAUAUAUCGACUUCUACAUCUUCUGAUUCUAAAAAAGUUAAUCAGCCAUCCCCUUUUCCUGGUUCUAAUAAAAGAUCAAAAAUCGCUUUCUACAAGCCCUGUGAAAAUAUUACCAUUGCGGAAACCAUUAUUGCCAUUGCGGAAACUAUAGGACAAUAGAUGAUAAGCUGCGAAAAUAUUCAUAAAUGGACAUUUUCUAGAAACUAUAGGACAAUAGAUGAUAAGCUGCGAAAAUAUUACCAUUGCGGAAACCAUUAUUGCCGUGCCACAACAUAUGUGGACUGUGAGAAGCCACAAAAUCAGUCAAAAGACAGUGGAAAUGUUAAUGAAAACUUAAGAACUCAAGCAAACCCUGAAUCUCGCAUGCAACCACAAGCUAGUAAGGAGAAUAACUUGAGUGAAGGCAUGGCUCACAUGAUGGCAGGUGGUAAGGAAGCUGGCCAAGCUACAACGGAGCAUUUUCGAGUGAUGAGAAGGAAGUGGGUGAUGUUAGAAUUAGGGAACCUAGAGGGAAUGUGUACGGACCUGAUGCCAAGAGAAGGUCAAUAAAAAAACCCAAGAUUAUUAUUCCAGAAACAAGUGAAGUUGGUGUUCCACCUGAUGGUUAUAAGUGGUACUAUAGUGGACAGAGAUCUACAAAAGAUAAUCCAAGGCAAGUGAAUAACUUUCGCUUAUUUCAUGUAAGACUUCCCACUGUUUGAAAUCAGUUAUACCAUAUCAGCUUCGAGCUCUUGUCUUGGCUGUUCAAAGCUCUUUUAUUGCAUUGAAGUAUCGAACUUGUUUACCCAACUUAAAACAUAAUGCUUUAAAGAUAGUUACUCCGUAUUUAGGUUGGUCUCUAGUAGAAAAUCAGGGUGUUUAAACUGUAAAAUAUGGUGCUUACCAUGGAGUAGUCUUGAUGUAAUGAACUGGCCUAAAAAGAUGGGAACUGCAGUUAGUUUAUUAGACCUUAGGUUGCAGAAGAAGCAAGCAAGGGAAUUAGCAAUGAGAGGGAAAUAUCAAGUAUUAUCGACGAACAAACAAUAUGAAGGAUAGUAGAGAACAAAUAAAAACGAUUAUUAGUAAAA
Molecule: long non-coding RNA, 2145 nt
Organism: Chenopodium quinoa (quinoa)
Lineage: Eukaryota; Viridiplantae; Streptophyta; Magnoliopsida; Caryophyllales; Amaranthaceae
Exons: 2
Source: RefSeq, a predicted model, not a curated record